Molecule: ribosomal RNA, 253 nt
Filed under: uncultured bacterium
Lineage: Bacteria
Description: partial 16S ribosomal RNA
Rfam family: Bacterial small subunit ribosomal RNA
Source: RNAcentral
UACGUAGGUGGCAAGCGUUGUCCGGAUUUACUGGGCGUAAAGAGCGCGCAGGCGGUCGUUCAAGUCGCGUGUGAAAGCCCCCGGCUCAACUGGGGAGGGUCACGCGAUACUGAUCGACUCGAAGGCAGGAGAGGGUAGUGGAAUUCCCGGUGUAGUGGUGAAAUGCGUAGAUAUCGGGAGGAACACCAGUGGCGAAGGCGGUCUGCUGGGCAGUAGCUGACACUGAUGCGCGACAGCGUGGGGAGCAAACAGG